CACACCGCCCGUCACACCAUGGGAGUCAGUUGUACCGGAAGCCGGCGAUCGAACCCGCAAGGGGCGUAGCCGUCCAUCGGUAUGGCUGGUGACUGGGGUG
This 100-nucleotide ribosomal RNA is filed under the name uncultured bacterium. RNAcentral's name for it is "partial 16S ribosomal RNA". It matches the Rfam family "Bacterial small subunit ribosomal RNA", at positions 1386 to 1482 of the family's 1533-position model. The record is from RNAcentral.